RNAcentral lists this ribosomal RNA (253 nucleotides) under uncultured bacterium. RNAcentral describes it as "partial 16S ribosomal RNA". It matches the Rfam family "Bacterial small subunit ribosomal RNA", at positions 524 to 776 of the family's 1533-position model. The record is from RNAcentral.
UACGAGGGGGGCAAGCGUUGUUCGGAAUUAUUGGGCGUAAAGAGCUCGUAGGCGGCCUGUUGCGUCCGCUGUGAAAGCCCGGGGCUUAACCCCGGGUCUGCAGUGGAUACGGGCAGGCUAGAGGUAGGUAGGGGAGAAUGGAAUUCCCGGUGUAGCGGUGAAAUGCGCAGAUAUCGGGAGGAACACCGGUGGCGAAGGCGGUUCUCUGGGCCAUUACUGACGCUGAGGAGCGAAAGCGUGGGGAGCGAACAGG